CAUGGAGGGUGAGAAUCCCGUUCAUGGUUAAUUCUAAGAUGCUCUAUGAUGCGUUUUCGAAGAGUCGAGUUGUUUGGGAUUGCAGCUCAAAAUGGGAGGUAAAUUUCUCCUAAGGCUAAAUAUUGGCGAGAGACCGAUAGCGAACAAGUACCGUGAGGGAAAGAUGAAAAGAACUUUGAAAAGAGAGUUAAACAGUACGUGAAAUUGUUGAAAGGGAAACGAUUGAAGUCAGUCGUACCAGCGGGAAAUCAACCUUUCGAGUGGGGUUUUGGAGUUUUGAAGUGUGUCAAAACCUUGGGGAUUUCAAAAUUUUCGCUCUUCUGGUGUACUUUCUCGCAGGUAGGUUAACAUCGAUUUUGAUCAUCAUAAAAGGAUCGGAGGAAUGUAGCUUCGAUCUCGUAUUGAAGUGUUAUAGCCUUUGGUAAAUGUGAUGAUUAGGAUCGAGGAUUGCAACGAAUACCCUUUUGGGCUAUCCGCCUGAUCUCUGAUACGUGGCCUUGGUGUUGAAAGCGUGCUUAUGAUAUUAAGGUAUUACGGUCAAAAGGUUAGAACGGAUUACAUUCGUUAAGGAUGUUGACGUAAUG
This 584-nucleotide ribosomal RNA is filed under the name uncultured Glomeromycotina. RNAcentral describes it as "LSU rRNA". It matches the Rfam family "Eukaryotic large subunit ribosomal RNA", at positions 204 to 636 of the family's 3401-position model. The record is from RNAcentral. Lineage: Eukaryota; Fungi; Glomeromycota.